RNAcentral lists this non-coding RNA (30 nucleotides) under Mus musculus (house mouse). The record is from RNAcentral. Lineage: Eukaryota; Metazoa; Chordata; Mammalia; Rodentia; Muridae.
UGCUGGUCAAUGUCUUAAUGAAUGGCAUCA